ACCUGUAUGCUACCAGGAGAAGGAUGGUGGAGAGCAGGAACUCUGUAGGCCAAGUCUCUCCGAGUGCCAUGUUGCUGUGAGGCCAGCAGAGUCUGUGGCAGGGAGGCCAGCGCCUGCCCGGAGCCUGCUGCUGCUUUGGCAAGGCUGCAGUGUCUGCUUGUUGGGGUGAUGAAACACCCCAGAGAACAGAGCUGUAUGUGAAGAGAUUUGUGUGGAAAGGAGGAUUUUAAAAGAUUCUAUUUUUUUUUUAUCUCAACAUUCCUUCAAGCAGCCCAACUUCCUACAUCAAAGGAGCUGAAGCUCUGCCUCCUCGACAAGUCUUAGUUUCCAUAGCAUGAAUUUUUUGGAAAUGCCCUCUCUUCCGUACGCUAGGUCUAUAGCAUGCGUGGUUACUGGUGAUGAUCAUUGAUCUCAGAACACCCGGAUGCUGCUGAAAACCAUGAGGGUAUUUUGAGCCUUGGAAUCUGGGCUUGGCCGCAUGUUUGGAUUAACAACCAGUUAAACCUUGCUAAGGCAAUAUUUUUCUAUGCAGUUAGUUUUUAUACUAAACAAGGUUUGUAGUAAUUGGAUGCCUUACUUGAGCAAAACUGUUUACCAGAAAAUAAAUCACUCCUGGCACUAAGAAAACACGAGCCGGAGGAUCGGCCGGCACAGUCAACCCUGUUCCUUUCUCAUAAACUUAGCCCCAAACAUGUGUGUGCUCAUCUAGGGCGACUUG
Molecule: long non-coding RNA, 718 nt
Filed under: Mus musculus (house mouse)
Lineage: Eukaryota; Metazoa; Chordata; Mammalia; Rodentia; Muridae
Description: predicted gene, 49872
Source: RNAcentral